Molecule: long non-coding RNA, 2804 nt
Filed under: Gallus gallus (chicken)
Lineage: Eukaryota; Metazoa; Chordata; Aves; Galliformes; Phasianidae
Description: lncRNA (ENSGALG00010029798.1)
Source: RNAcentral
GAAUUAGCGUCCCCAAGUACAGGUCGACCAAGACAAAGGCAAAAUAAACGGGCAGACAAAGGGGCUGUGUGGGAACCGAGCCGCCCAGCUCUGCUCUGCCACACAGCUCCGUGCCCACUGCCACUGCAACGGUGCAGAGGAGCAGCACUGCUUCACUUCUGCCUUUGAAACCACAGCAAGCACGAUGCAAACCAAACCAUGGGUACCGAAGAUGUCCAAAGAGGCAGGCUGACUCUCCUGCCCUCGAAGACAGGUUUGGCUCCACGAGCAGAGCAGAGGGAAUCGUUUUUAACUGGUUUAAACUAUGAUGGACUCAAGUGGAAAACGCAAGGAGAGUUAGCGAGGAGCAUAAUUGACUGGGCAUGGAACUCAGUAACCUCUCAGCACGCUGGAAGUGGUGGAGCAGAGGGGUUACGGCCAGGGCUGCUCCGCACCCACAGCCCUUUCUUCCCAAAGUGAACUCCGCCAGCAGCCAAAGACGGCAAUGACAACAAAAGUGUCAUGCCACAUUAUCAUCUUGCCGGCUCACACACUCCUGCCUGACAAGUUCUCUCUGCCCCUUGUGACAACCAUUCCAGGCUUAUGCUGUUUAUUUUUGGUGUCAGGCUGGCCCUGGCAGAUUGAAAGGCAACCUCAACCCCUUGAACAACAAGCACCACACCCCACUUGGCGAUAAGAGAUGAUUUGAGAAGAUAUUUGCUUACAUGUGUAUAAGCAAUUUGCUGUAUGAUGAAGCCCCGGUGUGCCUGUGUGAACGCACACGUAUGUGUGCAAAGGGGAAGGAACUGCAGAAGCGUAACAUUUCAUGAGAAAACAAACAAUUCAUUGCGGAUCCCAGGUAGCAGGCUUCAAUCAUCACAUCCCAUCGUACACACAGAACGUGAAACGUGGGCCACAAAGGCACCACGGGUACUCCCCACAAAGAGAAACGACAGCUAAGCUCGGUCUGUCCCUGCAAAACAGCCUCGCUGUGUCCCUGCAGAGCGCUGCGAGAUGCAGCGGCAGAGGCACCCCAUAGGAGGAAUGGGGACAAAACACGACAGUUCACUGCAGAAACACGCUAGGGCCAGAUUCAUCUCUGCUGUCAUGGAGUCCAUUUGGAACAGCACUGUUGUCAUUGAAUUACUUGGGACUGCCUGCAAUUGGAAUCACAGAACCUUGUCUUCAAGUAGCAGGCUGCGUGCAUCAUGGAGACUUCCUUUUAACUAUCCAAUUUUUACAGCCUGUACAUAAGCAGGACUAUGUCUACAGCUAGGGUUUCUUGGUGUAAGCACAAUUAAAGCUGAUAGUAAUUACAAAAGUAUGUAUUACAUUUGUUUUUAACGCUAAACUUAAGAAUACGGCAGUAUUUGUUUUAUGUUUACUUGGCUGGUUGAGGUGGUGGUGGUAGAGCAGGGCUUCUCUCCACUCCGAGUCAGGGAUAGCGUCCCACCCUCCCACCUCACCAGGCACAGAACAAGCUGCUCCUGGACCAACUGUUCCAUUGCUACCUGUCAGGAGGAAAGCUGCAGGGAAUCGGACAUGAUGUCCGGGUAGCAGCAGCACGAAGGAGAAAUGAAGGAGCAGGUUGGCAGAUCAACACAGAUUUCAUAUUUACUAUCCAGCCCAGUUAUUGUAGGCUGUGCCUACAGCUGUGCACUUGAUUUAGUUUACAGGCACUGCUUCAGCCCUGGUAAGAGGUGGGAGUGUGCUUCACCGCGGCGUUUACACAGAUCACAACGUAAACAAAACUUGACCCAACACCUUUUAUGUUAUCUCAGAGAAAGAAUCAUAAACUGAGCAAAAUCCACACCAUUAACUCCAGUGCAGUCUUUGAUCAAAUCGGGAGCUAAAAGGAAAACAGAUUUCCUUAAAAACAAACUAACAAAGCAGUAUGUGCAUUUCAUUUUUAAUCCAUUUUCUAGCAACCACACCAUAGAAAGGCAGAGGCUCACAACAGCAAUGCAUCUGAACACAAAAUAUGGCCAUCCCAAGGCACACUAAUGGCAUCCACAGCGCUGGUAAGAGGGAGCACGGAUGUUUUUACAACUGUAGGAUGGGGAAAAUUACUGUUGAUUAUGGAGCAGCAAUGAAAUGCCACAGUUGUGAGUGAUAAACACAGCAAAUGCUACAGGGGGUCCUUCUGGAAAAGGAAAAAAGGGGAACGUUUCGUCAUGCAGAAAAAUAUCCCAGGAAAAAAGGAUGGAGGUGACGCCUGCGUGGCUGUUACCAACCACGGGCUUCAUUCUGCCCCCAGCUGCACACGUGCAACCCAUCACCAGCGAAUGGAGACGGGCUCCCAUUGCAGCAGAACACUGCACAGCCACUUUGCCCUACAGGAAACACCGUAUGCAUGUCAGCCAGCAGAACCUUCUUACUUCUUCUCGUUAGUACUGUGCAUACGCAACCAGAUGCAAAUAUAUACACUUGCAUGCAUUGCUACUGCCACAUAACCCAGCCUGGGAUAUCCCAUUCCCAAACACCUGAGUACCUACACAGCUCUUCAUGGGUGCAAAGCCUCCAGGACUGCAGCAAUGAAACAGCGGAACAGAACUCACAUUGCCUGCGAGGCCCAUCUAUUCAUCUCUGCCCACAAGACUCCCUCGCACCACUGCAUGCUUUUUAUACUUCAUUAAAGCAAAUCACUGAUGUUCUUCAGCUGACAAACAUCCCCGGAAAGGAUGCAAAGAGCGGCAAGAAUUCGGCUUUGGCAAGCAGAUCUAUUUUCAUCUUACAUUUACAGUUGCUUGUGCAUAUCUAUAUAUCCAUCUGCAUCCCUAUCUUCAUAAAAACCUAACUGCAACAAAAUAAAUGAUAAUAAUUCU